GGGAACACGUUCAUUUAUUCCAAUAUUCUUCAAAGCAGUGUCAACACGGCGUAGGAAUUUCGGCACUCCCUUCCAUAUUGUCUCAUGGAAGUAACUCAUCCCCGCCCUCAUCUCAUCUUGUGGAGUUGGUGGAGUCCUCCUGAUUUCAUCUGUGCGAAAGGCUGCUUGUAUCUCUCUUUGUAGAGCCUCGUCUAGCUCCUGCUUAUCAUCAGGAGUAAUAUCUUUGGCGUACAACUGCGUCA
Molecule: unclassified non-coding RNA, 242 nt
Filed under: Hevea brasiliensis (rubber tree)
Lineage: Eukaryota; Viridiplantae; Streptophyta; Magnoliopsida; Malpighiales; Euphorbiaceae
Source: RNAcentral